UGGGGAAUAUUGGACAAUGGGCGCAAGCCUGAUCCAGCCAUGCCGCGUGAGUGAUGAAGGCCCUAGGGUUGUAAAGCUCUUUCACCGGUGAAGAUAAUGACGGUAACCGGAGAAGAAGCCCCGGCUAACUUCGUGCCAGCAGCCGCGGUAAUACGAAGGGGGCUAGCGUUGUUCGGAUUUACUGGGCGUAAAGCGCACGUAGGCGGACUUUUAAGUCAGGGGUGAAAUCCCGGGGCUCAACCCCGGAACUGCCUUUGAUACUGGAAGUCUUGAGUAUGGUAGAGGUGAGUGGAAUUCCGAGUGUAGAGGUGAAGUUCGUAGAUAUUCGGAGGAACACCAGUGGAGAAGGCGGCUCACUGGACCAUUACUGACGCUGAGGUGCGAAAGCGUGGGGAGAAAACAGG
This 404-nucleotide ribosomal RNA is filed under the name Actinomycetes bacterium. RNAcentral's name for it is "Actinobacteria bacterium partial 16S ribosomal RNA". It matches the Rfam family "Bacterial small subunit ribosomal RNA", at positions 355 to 776 of the family's 1533-position model. Lineage: Bacteria; Bacillati; Actinomycetota; Actinomycetes. The record is from RNAcentral.